CAUUUUACUUCUUUCUUUAUCCUCGAUGAUUCGUCUUCUUCUCUCUAUUUUUUUUUCUCAUGGAUUUUCUCAAGUCAUCUCCCAUCAGAAAUCUUUUGUAUAACACGGUAUUCUUUGUUGAUUACGUUCAACAAUAAUUUCGAUUUAUUUCAUGUUAUUCCUGAAAUCGAAAUUCGAUUGGUUUCAUUUUAUCCCUCUUCUAGGGCAACUUCAAUUGAAUUAAAUUUUUUAUCUCCAUCCAAAUCGAGUUUCAGUUAAUCAAUUUGUCACUGAAAUCAUUAGGUUAGUGUUCGAUAUUGCAAAUCUAUCUUAGUAAUGAGGUUCAAAAUCAUAUUCACUGAUAAUUGCUUCCAGUUUUUAUUUUUUUUAUUUUAAAUUGUUGAUUCGCUAUUUUACUUUGAAAACCAGGGGUUUGCAGAAUUUGCAUUUCGAAGUACUUUUAAUUGUAAUUAGUUUUGAAUGUGCUCCUGCAACAGCUCUUAGUAAUUCUUAAUGCAUGAUUUUUUAAUUGAUGUUGGUCAACUGGAUAAUCCUCAAUCUGAUCAUGGAAACAGCAAUAGAAGGAGAACCUAAUUGCAGGGAGGUUCAACAAGAUUCUUACAGUUAUGGAGGUACUGCCACUUACAACCAAGGUUGAAACGUUAACUCCAUCUUACCGAGUUUCAUCUUAGGUACGCAAUAUUGUCUAGAUUCAAUCAGAAAGUGGUGAUAGACUUGGGAAUUAGGAAAUAUACGGUGCUGCAGUUGAACUUGGAGACUGGAUGAAGAAAAUUGUAGAAUUCCCGGUGUUCGCCGACAUGCAACACACGUGCACUCUACUUGUCCAUGUAAGACGACCAAAAAAUGUUUUAUCCUAAAGGGGUUUUGAUACCCUCCCUAAUAAACUGGUAUUCCUAUUAACAAUCUUGAUCAAAUUCUCUAA
Papaver somniferum (opium poppy) is the source of this 922-nucleotide long non-coding RNA. RefSeq lists it as uncharacterized. The record is from RefSeq and is a predicted model, not a curated record. NCBI's taxonomy places the organism in Eukaryota, Viridiplantae, Streptophyta, Magnoliopsida, Ranunculales, Papaveraceae. The transcript has 2 exons.